RNAcentral lists this ribosomal RNA (642 nucleotides) under Geastrum indicum. RNAcentral's name for it is "LSU rRNA". It matches the Rfam family "Eukaryotic large subunit ribosomal RNA", at positions 130 to 757 of the family's 3401-position model. The record is from RNAcentral. Lineage: Eukaryota; Fungi; Basidiomycota; Agaricomycetes; Geastrales; Geastraceae.
ACGGCCGUCCGAGUUGUAAUCUAGAGAAGUGUUUUCCGCGCUGGACCGUGUACAAGUCCUUUGGAACAAGGCGUCAUAGAGGGUGAGAAUCCCGUCUACGACACGGACUGCCAAGCGCUUUGUGAUACACUCUCAACGAGUCGAGUUGUUUGGGAAUGCAGCUCAAAAUGGGUGGUAAAUUCCAUCUAAAGCUAAAUAUUGGCGAAAGACCGAUAGCGAACAAGUACCGUGAGGGAAAGAUGAAAAGCACUUUGGAAAGAGAGUUAAACAGUACGUGAAAUUGUUGAAAGGGAAACGCUUGAAGUCAGUCGCGUCUUCAGAAAUUCAGCUGGGCUUCUGCCUAGUGUACUUUUCUGUGGGACGGGCCAGCAUCAGUUUUGGCUGCCAGAAAAAGGUCGGAGGAAGGUGGCACCCUCGGGUGUGUUAUAGCCUCUGAUCGUAUGUGGCAGCCGGGAUUGAGGACCGCAGCACGCCUUUUGGCCGGGGUUCGCCCACGUAACGUGCUUAGGAUGCUGGCGUAAUGGCUUUAAACGACCCGUCUUGAAACACGGACCAAGGAGUCUAACAUGCCUGCGAGUAUUUGGGUGGCAAACCCAUGUGCGGAAUGAAAGUGAACAGUUGGGACUUCUGUCAUGGAAGGCA